RNAcentral lists this ribosomal RNA (433 nucleotides) under uncultured bacterium. Its description in RNAcentral is "partial 16S ribosomal RNA". It matches the Rfam family "Bacterial small subunit ribosomal RNA", at positions 29 to 507 of the family's 1533-position model. The record is from RNAcentral.
AACGAACGCUGGCGGCAUGCCUAACACAUGCAAGUCGAACGAGACCUUCGGGUCUAGUGGCGCACGGGUGCGUAACGCGUGGGAACCUGCCUUUAGGUUCGGAAUAACUCAGAGAAAUUUGAGCUAAUACCGGAUGAUGUCUUCGGACCAAAGAUUUAUCGCCUUUAGAUGGGCCCGCGUUGGUUUAGCUAGUUGGGGGGGUAAAGGCCUACCAAGGCGACGAUCCAUAGCUGGUCUGAGAGGAUGAUCAGCCACACUGGGACUGAGACACGGCCCAGACUCCUACGGGAGGCAGCAGUGGGGAAUAUUGGACAAUGGGCGGAAGCCUGAUCCAGCAAUGCCGCGUGAGUGAUGAAGUCCUUAGGGUUGUAAAUCUCUUUUACCCGAGAUGAUAAUGACAGUAUCGGGAGAAUAAGCUCCGGCUAACUCCGUG